UGUUAGGGGUGUGUGAUAGCUGAAACGGUUUCGUUUUAGAGGAAAGUCCGAACUUCUAGAGAAUACAGUAGCGGGUAACGCCCGUCAAUAAUCGUAAGGUUAUUAGGACUAGUGCCACAGAGACGAGUCGGACUUCGGUUCGGGUGAAACGCGGUAAACUCUACUGGAAGCAAGAUCUAAUAGGGCUAUGUAUUAUGCAUUCUCUCAUAGUAGCCGGGUUGAUCGCACAGAACUUUGCAGUAAUGUAAAGUCUAGAUAAAUUAUCACGGGUGUUUUAACACUACAGAAUUCGGCUUAUAGCCCCUACAUUCU
RNAcentral lists this RNase P RNA (312 nucleotides) under Alphaproteobacteria bacterium. RNAcentral describes it as "RNase P RNA component class A". It matches the Rfam family "Bacterial RNase P class A". From Rfam's summary of the family: Ribonuclease P (RNase P) is a ubiquitous endoribonuclease, found in archaea, bacteria and eukarya as well as chloroplasts and mitochondria. Lineage: Bacteria; Pseudomonadati; Pseudomonadota; Alphaproteobacteria. The record is from RNAcentral.